This 449-nucleotide ribosomal RNA is filed under the name uncultured bacterium. RNAcentral's name for it is "partial 16S ribosomal RNA". It matches the Rfam family "Bacterial small subunit ribosomal RNA", at positions 29 to 523 of the family's 1533-position model. The record is from RNAcentral.
AACGAACGCUGGCGGCAGGCUUAACACAUGCAAGUCGAACGAGAUCUUCGGAUCUAGUGGCAGACGGGUAAGGAACACGUGGGAACAUCCCUUUCAGUUCGGAAUAACGUUGGGAAACUCACGCUAAUACCGGAAACGUCCUUCGGGCGCAAGAUUUAUCGCUGAAAGAUUGGCCCGCGUCUGAUUAGCUAGUUGGUGAGGUAACGGCUCACCAACGCUACGAUCAGUAGCUGAUCUGAGAUGAUGAUCAGCCACAUUGGGACUGAGACACGGCCCAAACUCCUACGGGAGGCAGCAGUGGGGAAUAAUGGACAAUGGGCGCAAGCCUGAUCCAGCCAUGCCGCGUGAGUGAUGACGGCCUUCGGGUUGUAAAGCUCUUUUGUCCGGGAAGAUAAUGACUGUACCGGAAGAAUAAGCCCCGGCAAACUUCGUGCCAGCAGCCGCGGUAA